GAUGAACGCUAGCGGCAGGCCUAACACAUGCAAGUCGAGGGGCAUCAUGGCGUAGCAAUACGCUGAUGGCGACCGGCGCACGGGUGCGUAACGCGUAUGGAACCUACCCACCGCAGGGGGAUAACCCGCCGAAAGGCGGACUAAUACCCCAUGGUUCCCCGACCCUGCCUGGGGUUGGGGGUAAAGCCUACGGGCGGCGGUGGAUGGCCCUGCGUGCCAUUAGCUGGCUGGUGGGUAACGGCCCACCAGGGCGACGAUGGCUAGGGGGUCUGAGAGGACGAUCCCCCACACUGGUACUGAGACACGGACCAGACUCCUACGGGAGGCAGCAGUGAGGAAUAUUGGUCAAUGGGCGCAAGCCUGAACCAGCCAUCCCGCGUGAAGGAAGAAUGCGCUACGCGUUGUAAACUUCUUUUCCAGGGGGAGAAUAAUCCUGUCGUGACAGGACUUGACGGUACUCUGGGAAUAAGCAUCGGCUAACUCCGUG
RNAcentral lists this ribosomal RNA (487 nucleotides) under uncultured bacterium. RNAcentral describes it as "bacterial SSU rRNA". It matches the Rfam family "Bacterial small subunit ribosomal RNA", at positions 28 to 507 of the family's 1533-position model. The record is from RNAcentral.